GACGAACGCUGGCGGCGCGCUUAACACAUGCAAGUCGAACGGAAAGGCCCUGCUUUUGUGGGGUGCUCGAGUGGCGAACGGGUGAGUAACACGUGAGUAACCUGCCCUUGACUUUGGGAUAACUUCAGGAAACUGGGGCUAAUACCGGGUAGGAGCUCCUGCUGCAUGGUGGGGGUUGGAAAGUUUCGGCGGUUGGGGAUGGACUCGCGGCUUAUCAGCUUGUUGGUGGGGUAGUGGCUUACCAAGGCUUUGACGGGUAGCCGGCCUGAGAGGGUGACCGGCCACAUUGGGACUGAGAUACGGCCCAGACUCCUACGGGAGGCAGCAGUGGGGAAUAUUGCACAAUGGGCGGAAGCCUGAUGCAGCAACGCCGCGUGCGGGAUGACGGCCUUCGGGUUGUAAACCGCUUUCGCCUGUGAUGAAGCGUGAGUGACGGUAAUGGGUAAAGAAGCACCGGCUAACUACGUG
This 468-nucleotide ribosomal RNA is filed under the name uncultured bacterium. RNAcentral's name for it is "partial 16S ribosomal RNA". It matches the Rfam family "Bacterial small subunit ribosomal RNA", at positions 28 to 507 of the family's 1533-position model. The record is from RNAcentral.